UCGGGAAUAUUGCGCAAUGGAGGAAACUCUGACGCAGUGACGCCGCGUAUAGGAAGAAGUUUUUCGGAAUGUAAACUAUUGUCGUUAGGGAAGAGAAAGGACAGUACCUAAGGAGGAAGCUCCGGCUAACUACGUGCCAGCAGCCGCGGUAAUACGUAGGGAGCGAGCGUUAUCCGGAAUUAUUGGGUGUAAAGGGUGCGUAGACGGGAGAACAAGUUAGUUGUGAAAUCCCUCGGCUUAACUGAGGAACUGCAACUAAAACUAUUUUU
RNAcentral lists this ribosomal RNA (269 nucleotides) under uncultured bacterium. Its description in RNAcentral is "partial 16S ribosomal RNA". It matches the Rfam family "Bacterial small subunit ribosomal RNA", at positions 355 to 640 of the family's 1533-position model. The record is from RNAcentral.